AGUGAACGCUGGCGGUAGGCCUGACACAUGCAAGUCGAACGGCAGCACAGUAAGAGCUUGCUCUUACGGGUGGCGAGUGGCGGACGGGUGAGGAAUACAUCGGAAUCUACUUUUUCGUGGGGGAUAACGUAGGGAAACUUACGCUAAUACCGCAUACGACCUACGGGUGAAAGCAGGGGAUCUUCGGACCUUGCGCGAUUGAAUGAGCCGAUGUCGGAUUAGCUAGUUGGCGGGGUAAAGGCCCACCAAGGCGACGAUCCGUAGCUGGUCUGAGAGGAUGAUCAGCCACACUGGAACUGAGACACGGUCCAAACUCCUACGGGAGGCAGCAGUGGGGAAUAUUGGACAAUGGGCGCAAGCCUGAUCCAGCCAUACCGCGUGGGUGAAGAAGGCCUUCGGGUUGUAAAGCCCUUUUGUUGGGAAAGAAAAGCAGCAGGUUAAUACCCCGCUGUUCUGACGGUACCCAAAGAAUAAGCACCGGCUAACUUCGUG
This 492-nucleotide ribosomal RNA is filed under the name uncultured bacterium. RNAcentral's name for it is "partial 16S ribosomal RNA". It matches the Rfam family "Bacterial small subunit ribosomal RNA", at positions 29 to 507 of the family's 1533-position model. The record is from RNAcentral.